GUAGGUGGCAAGCGUUGUCCGGAAUUAUUGGGGCGUAAAGCGCGCGCAGGCGGUUCUUUAAGUCUGAUGUGAAAGCCCACGGGCUCAACCGUGGAGGGUCAUUGGAAACUGGAGAACUUGAGUACAGAAGAGGAAAGCGGAAUUCCACGUGUAGCGGUGAAAUGCGUAGAGAUGUGGAGGAACACCAGUGGCGAAGGCGGCUUUCUGGUCUGUAACUGACGCUGAGGCGCGAAAGCGUGGGGGGCAAACAGGAUUAGAUACCCUGGUAGUCCACGCCGUAAACGAUGAGUGCUAAGUGUUAGGGGGUUUCCGCCCCUUAGUGCUGCAGCUAACGCAUUAAGCACUCCGCCUGGGGAGUACGGCCGCAAAGGCUGA
This 375-nucleotide ribosomal RNA is filed under the name uncultured organism. Its description in RNAcentral is "partial 16S ribosomal RNA". It matches the Rfam family "Bacterial small subunit ribosomal RNA", at positions 527 to 897 of the family's 1533-position model. The record is from RNAcentral.